AGAUGUGAGGGAGAUCUGUUUGCAACAUCUGUCAUCCCAUUGAUCGCCAGGGUUGAUAUGGCUGGUUAGGCAAACGUUGCCUUCCUCACUAUUUCAUGGGCAUCCCUCCUGAAGCUGAUCUCUUGGUCUAAGAGAAUGACCACCCUGCAAGAGGAGGAAUGUUCUUCAGUCAAGGAUAUGCAAGCAGCUGUGCUCCCCUGCUAGAACCUCCAAACAAGCUCUCAAGAAUCAUUGUCUUACCCAACUCUAGAAAGUUCCACCACUGUUCUCACUAUUCUAGACAAUUAUUCUCU
This 293-nucleotide small nuclear RNA is filed under the name Carlito syrichta (Philippine tarsier). RNAcentral describes it as "7SK RNA (ENSTSYG00000020840.2)". It matches the Rfam family "7SK RNA". Rfam says of the family: 7SK was discovered as an abundant small nuclear RNA in the mid-70s but a possible function has only recently been suggested. Two independent studies have found that 7SK RNA binds the CDK9/cyclin T complex (known as elongation factor P-TEFb). Lineage: Eukaryota; Metazoa; Chordata; Mammalia; Primates; Tarsiidae. The record is from Rfam by way of RNAcentral.